ACGAAAGUAUGUGUUAUGAAUAAUGUUGUACCAUACAUUUAUCUCAGUCUAAUGUAUGUAUUGUUUUAAGGAAACAACAGCAGUAAAACUGUAGAGAACAUCGAUCCAGGUAAGGCGGAAACAGUCACAAACUCGGGUAUAUUAAUCAAUUAAUCAAGCAAAUAAGCAAAUGCACAACCAAAAACAUCAAGUGAACAACAACUGCAUUGCCUAAAGAAAAACGAUGACAGAAACAAACACUGCACAAAAAUGACACGACUGAUUCAGUGGUAGAAUCUAUAUUUAUCUGGUUUAAUGUGGUACCAAAGACCUUGAAUAAAAUUAAUUUGACUCGUUUAAUUUUAAUGAAAUUUUGACAAAAUAUUAAUUUGACCCUUUGACAAAAAUAUGAAAUUUGAAAAAAAAACUUGAGCCACAAAUUUUUCCCAGAAAAAUUUAGGUGGAUAUAUAGCAGUUUGACAAACGCUAAUUUUGAUCAUUGAGAAGCUUCAUAUUCCUUGUACUAUAGAACGUGAUUCAAACAUUCAGCCGAUUUUUCAGAGUUAUUUCUCUGUAGUAGUAUGUAGCACCUUAAGUAUAUAAUUUACCACUUUAAGGGAUACACAGCCAACUAAAUGUGGAGAACACCGAUUCAAGUGAAGUGAUUGAUUGAUUGUUGGUUGAUUUACGCCUCAUUAGCACAAAAAGGCUAUAUCGCGGCGAUCAGGUGAAGUGGAAAUAGUCACAAACUCGAGUAUAAUUAAUCAGUUUAUUCAAACAUUUUACACUCCUUCAUAUCAUAAAAAAAUUAUCAUGUGAAGCAUGAUUUGAAGCAUAUAACGUUCUCUUCAAUUCAUGAGUUUUGAAUGUCUGAUUGGUAUUUUCCAUCUCAUGUUUGACAAAAACAAACUGCUUACAAAGAAAUAUGGUCUAAAGUCUAUGAUAUUGUUGGAAAUAUCGAUCAAAUGUUGUUUACUGUGGAUUCAGUAUUAUUCGUUGGAUACCAAUUUUCAUUGGUUUCGUGUAAAAUAUCGAUCAAAUGUUGUUUACUAGUAAUUGGGUCUACACAAAUUUACCUUAAUGUGUGAUUCAUAGAAAUAAUGAAAUAAAUAUACAUGACUAUAGCCCAGUACGUCCAAGUAGGAACAUCAAUCAUAAAAAGGGGGAAUAAAUCGACAAAAAUGAAAAAAAAACAUUAUGACUUCGAUCAUCUCUACGACAGACUAUUAAGUUUUCCAUACAAGAGUUUUAUCAUUGAGAGAGAAAUUAGAGUACAAAUAAAAUAACACCAGGAUAAUAAUCACUUUCCGUUUUCAAUUUUCCACGGAUUUCAAUAUUUUUGUGAUUUUAGUUUUGAAAGCCAAUUUAAUGAAGUAAGAAAGAUAGUUCGGAUUAAAAGUGUAUUCAUGCGGUAUCUACAAACUUUUAAAAAUAAACCACUUCAAACCAUUUCCAAUAAACUCAUCAUAGAUAUCAGCACUAAAUACAUGUAUGCCAGAUGCUAGUUUCGUCUUCAAAAGACUCAUUAUUGACGCUCAUAUAAAAUAAGUGAAAUUUCAAAAGGUAUUUUCAAAUACGGCUAAGGUAAGUAUGUUGGUAUUAUUGAUAAAUGUGUUUUUAAUUUAAACUACAUAUAUUCAAUGUCUUUUAAAUGCCAAUGAUUGAGAACACUUUGAAACACAUUUUGCAAGUCGACCAAAAAAUUCAAUCUACAUACGUAUAAUACUUCUAGAGUAAUCGAGUUGUGCAUAACUUCUUUUUUUAAUGCAUACGAGUAAGUCAAGUGGUAAAGUAAUAAUUUCAUUGACGUAUUACUGUAAAUGUUUUGAUAAAAUCCUCGCAUAUAAUAUAUACUUUGUUUUUUUCAUAUAAAAUACACGCGUGCCGUAUACAUUUAAGAAAUUAAUUGUAUGAAACAUAUCAAUGAUACGAUAUUUUUUUGUUGUUUAGGACGGUCAUGUCAAGACAAGUUUUAUCAUGGUCUAUUAUCAGCUGGACUUAUCCUUAUAUCAUUUUUAUUGGUUAUAUGCAGUGCUUGUUUCAACCGUAAGUGUCGAACCAAGACAUUAGAUCAAAGAUAGAAAGAUAAGUCAACCAGUUAUAUACAACACAACAAGA
This 2097-nucleotide long non-coding RNA is filed under the name Mytilus galloprovincialis (Mediterranean mussel). Lineage: Eukaryota; Metazoa; Mollusca; Bivalvia; Mytilida; Mytilidae. The record is from RNAcentral.